UUUUUUUUUUUUUUUUACAUUUGCAAAGAUGGGGUUCCAAUAACAGUGUGAUGCCCAUGUAGCCUUCAGAAUAUUGCUCAGCUUUGCACACAGUUUGUCGUGCAGCUGGAAUUUCAAACUUGUUUACGGUUUCUUAACAUCUAUGCCUCCAACUCAAGAGUCCCGUGUUUAUUGGUAAUCAUUUGUGGUGGACAUUGCUUGAAUUCCAUGAAUUCUGGGUGCAGUAUUUCAGUUGUGAAUGUUGGUGUGUGUGUGUGUGUGUGUGUGUGUGUGUGUGUGUGUGUGUGUGUGUGCGCGUGUGCAUACUGUUCCAUGUCUUUGUCGUUUGUUGCAGUGUUAGUUUCAUGUUGGAUCUGUGGAAGAUGCACCGUAGCUUGAAAGGGUUUCUGGGAUGUUUGCCCAGGAAACAUUAACAGCGAUGGUAGUUGACCUGAUUUGCCCAAAUGGAAAUAUGACAUAUUUUAUUAGAAAAACCAUAUAUUUGCAUACAAGUCCUAAAAAAAUCUACAGAUAUCUUUUGAUAGUAAACUUUUGGCCUUUUUCAGUCUUUCUUUAGUGUUUAGUGGUGGAUUGGUGAUGGAUUGUUAUGCUGUGAGAUACUGCUAUUAUACAGUAUGAAGGACCGCCUCAAGCAUGAUGUCUGUUAUUCAGUUCAUUCCUUGUAAACCUUUGAGAUUGCUCCUUUAGAACAGCCUCUGCUGGUGUCUAGAUGACACUUGGUGGUUCUUCCUGUGUGGUUAACAAAGACAGACAGAUCUGGGCCCAUAUUUAUCAGCCUCCUCAUAGCAAACCAGUUCAAACAUUGCUGAAUAUUCUCUCACUAGCAAAUUUUUGGUCCUGCUUUCAGGUCUAGGAGGAGAACGUUUUAUUAACCUUCUUAGCCGAUGGAAUCACUCUGAACUAAUUAAUCUCAGCAACUCAAGUAACCUAAGUGUGAAUGCUAUUUUUUGCCCCUCAUGUUAAGAUCGUCAGUGCAAGUCUGGCAUGUUUUAUCAAUGCAAUCAAUAUUAACUUAUACCUUUGUUUACAUUUCCUGUUUGAAAGUCAUCCAGAUGGUGACAAAGAAACAUAAAUCAACCCCAAAGUGACGCAAAAUGACUAUAAUCAGAUCUAAAACGACUGCAACGUCAUGCAAAACAACUGCAAAAGACACAGAACCGCUACAAAGAGACAAAACUACUAUAAAGAGACACAACAUGACUUCAUAAAAUCACAAAACAACAAAGUGACACAAAAUGACUGUGAAGGGACGUUAAGUAAAAAGAAAUGCAUUGUAGAUGCAAAAUGACUACAAAGAAACAAAACAAGCAUAAAGUGACACAAAAAGACUGCAAUCAGACCUAAAAGUAUGACUAUAAAGAGAUGCAAAACAAAUAAGGUGCCACAAAAUACCACUAAAGGAUGCAAAAUAACACAGAGCUGUUAGAAAGUGAUGCAAAGCAGCCAUAGAAGGACUGCACAGUGACAGAAUCACCACACAGACACAAAAUGACUGGACAGGAGAUGACUGCAUAUGCCAUGGACGUGUCACUUGUUUUGCAUUUCUUUGAGCUGGAUGUUUGGUUCCUGAGGGGCCCAUUAUCUGAGUUACAAACAGCAGCUAUUAAUUGUUAGACUUCAAUCCUUUAACCUUGAUGCUGUAAUGUUUCUAAAUGUAGAACCCAUUAGGACUGUGGAUAUAUUUCCAUAUGGGUGCAGCCUCUGGUCAUGUUCAGACAUGAUGAGGCUGGAGCUGGGAUGGAAGCAGUGCGGAGGUAUUAAAAGGGAAACGGUUAUUGUAAUAUUCUCCUAUUUUUGGCUUUCCUCACAGCUUUGAACUGUCCUACUUUUUACAGAAAAAGAAGUGCCUGUACCUUUUUUUGUUUCAUGAGCCCACUGAGUUGUUGAUGUGCUUUCCUGUGAGUUUACCAAAAUGUGAAACUUGAUUUGUGCGGUGUAUUUUUUUAAAUUAUCUUUAAUAUCGUUGUCUUUUAUGAAGCCCCUUUACUAGGUGUGAUACAAUUUAAGUGACUAAGAAUGUUUUGCAUACAUAAAACUAGUGAAUGUCAACAGUGUUAUUUUAUUGAAGAUGAGGCCAGAACAUUGGUAACAUCUUCAUCCAAACACGUGCAGCAUGUUUUUAAACCUCCCAACGGAUACUGACACCUCUCUGUGCAUGAGAAGUCUCAGAAGUUAAACAUAUCUAAAUAAUAUAUAGAUUGUAUUUAUUGAAGAAAAGCAUUAUAAGUUGAGAGCGUUUAAAAGCAUGUGUUGCUUUGUUUGGCUGAAGAUGUGUUUGCAGUCUGACCUCAGCAGGUUGCAGCUUUUUUGCUUUCUGGUUAUUACAGAAACAUUUCUUCUUAUUCUUCUUUAGAAUACGUUCUUAUUGUUGCACAUUAUGUAAACUGCAUUUUGCAUGUGUGACCGCGGCCUCAAAUAUAUCCGCUGCUACGUUUAUUCGACCCCACAGCGUGUCCUGAUAGAAGCAGCCGUGCAGCAGAUGUUCGUCUUUUCUCCUAAAGUGUGUGACCUGAUGUGGGCCAGACUCCAGAGCGAUUCAUUACAAAAGGGCUUCACAUUUCAUUUCCUUCAACUAAAUGUCACACACAGACACACUUGCAUCCAUGUUUUCUGCCCUGCUUAUAGCUUGAACUGUUUUAUAGAUUGGACAGAAACCUUCGCCAGACUCCAGCUGGGGAACGUUUGAGCCGGUUGAUGUUAUGCUGUAUCAGCGAUACUGACCUGUAGGUAAUGCCACACUGCCUCACUGUUAUUAAAACAGAACAAACAUGUCGAUGUGAUGUGUAUCUCAAAUAACACUUCAGAACUGUCAAGCCGAACCAGAUCGGUUUGAGGUUUGAUUUAUUUACAUAUCUCUCUCUCUGUUUGUGGAUCUCUAAAGCCCAUGUUGAGAUUAAGAUGAAGAGCUUUCAUCUGUAGCAAUGACAUAAAACUGCAGUCUUACUUGUUGUUCUCUCUGCUACAUUGUGUGGAUAGUAAGUUGUGUGUUAGUAACUCUUUGUACUACAGGAAAAUUGUUCCAUAUUUGUAUUUAAUUUUGAUUUAUUAAAGGUUUUAAGAUGCCCACUAUGCAAA
Molecule: long non-coding RNA, 3075 nt
Organism: Amphiprion ocellaris (clown anemonefish)
Lineage: Eukaryota; Metazoa; Chordata; Actinopteri; Pomacentridae
Source: Ensembl